Molecule: transfer RNA, 71 nt
Filed under: Sphingomonas psychrotolerans
Lineage: Bacteria; Pseudomonadati; Pseudomonadota; Alphaproteobacteria; Sphingomonadales; Sphingomonadaceae
Description: Sphingomonas sp. Cra20 tRNA-Val
Source: RNAcentral
GCAUGGGUUGCGGUGUCUGCACUGUGUUCACACCGCAGGGGUCGCUGGUUCAAUCCCAGCCGCGCCCACCA